Molecule: non-coding RNA, 43 nt
Filed under: Schistosoma mattheei
Lineage: Eukaryota; Metazoa; Platyhelminthes; Trematoda; Strigeidida; Schistosomatidae
Source: RNAcentral
ACCCAGCUGGAGUCCCAAAUAGGAUGAAAUGUGCAUCCUGGAU